Molecule: RNA transcript, 1501 nt
Organism: Andrographis paniculata
Lineage: Eukaryota; Viridiplantae; Streptophyta; Magnoliopsida; Lamiales; Acanthaceae
Exons: 5
Source: RefSeq, a predicted model, not a curated record
CUUUAUUUUUUAUUUUUUAAAAAUCACUCUCUCGUCGAGCCCUAAUUUCUCUCCUCUGUUCGUUCUGGUUCCUUCGCUCCUGACCCGUGGAGUGCGAGUUCUUCCUUUUGCUGGUGCUGUUCCGCCGUUCCUGUGCGCCCAGCGACUUCCGUGUUUCGGUUUGGCCUUUUCCGAAGGAAGUUUCAUUCACCAACCAAUUUUCGGCUACCAAUUCUUCAGUCAUGGCUCGUAAUGAGGAGAAAGCGCAGUCGAUGUUGAAUCGGUUCAUCGCCAUGAAAGAGGAUGAGAAGAAGAAACCCAAGGAACGCCGCCCCUACCUUGCUUCGGAGUGCCGUGACUUGGCAGAAGCUGACAAAUGGCGCCAGCAAAUCAUGCGUGAAAUUGGGCGCAAAGUUGCAGAAAUCCAGAACGAAGGCCUCGGAGAGCAUCGCCUCAGGGACCUGAAUGACGAGAUAAACAAGUUGAUUCGGGAGAAGACACACUGGGAGCGGAGAAUUGUGGAGCUCGGCGGACCUAAUUAUACGAGGUAUUCUGCAAAGAUGACUGAUCUGGACGGCAACAUAGUUGAUGUUCCCAAUCCUGGGGGCAGGGGACCGGGAUACAGGUACUUUGGGGCCGCAAAAAAGUUGCCUGGUGUCCGGGAGUUGUUUGAGAAACCUCCAGAAUUACGUAAAAGGCGCACAAGGUAUGACAUAUACAAAAGGAUCGACGCUAGGUAUUAUGGUUAUAGGGAUGAUGAGGAUGGGAUAUUGGAAAAACUGGAAGGGCCUGCAGAGGACAAGAUGAGAGCUUUGGCUGUGGCAGAAUGGACACAAAUCGAAAAAAUAAAGAAGGAAGCUAGGAUGGGUGUGAAGAGUGGGGAGGUAGCAGAGGCGGGUACUGUAUCGAAGAUUUUAUUUGAGGAGGAAGAGGAUGUGGUGGAAGAAGAGAGGAGAAAAGAGAGGGAGAAGGAGGUGGAGAAUGAAAAGGAAUUUGUGGCACAUGUCCCACUUCCAGAUGAAGAGGAGAUUAAAAGGAAGGUGCUGGAGAAGAAGAAGAAGGAAAUGUUGGAUAAAUAUACGAGCAGUGAGUUGUUGGAGGAGCUGAUGGAAGCGAAACAAUUGCUUAAACCACAACAGUAGAUGAAGGGUAUGGGUGUAUCCUUGCGAACUAAAGAUGAAGCGUUUGAGAAAUUCCUUGUUUGAAAGAUCAUGUAAUUGUGAAUCUGAAGAUGGAAUGUCUCAAGGUUUAAAAGGAAAGACAUCAAUUUCUUCAAUUAUGUAAGAAGGGCGAAAGCGACCAUCAACCAUGUAGUUAAAUGUUCCUUCCGUGAUGCAAUGAUCUAGAAUUUGCACAAGCUGGGAAGACACUUGCUUGCCUACAAAAAAGGCUAAUUGCUUAUAUGACCAAAAUAUUGUGCGAGAACUCCUAUUUGUUUAAUUUACAUGUGUAUAUGCAUGUUGGUGAAACAAAUUCAUCUUGGUAAUGUAAGCUGAGGCUCUCUAGGCUCUGUUUUUGUUCA